ACUCAAAUGAAUUGACGGGGAGGCACACAACCAGUGGAACAUGUGGUUCAAUUCGAAACAAACCGAAGAACCUCACCAAGAUUUGACAUCCUAGGGACAGCCCGAUGAAAGUUGGGCCUUUCGCAAGAACCGUAGGACAGGUGCUGCAUGGCUGUCGUCAGCUCGUUCCGUGAGGAGUACCCUUAAGUGGGACAACGAGCGCAACCCCCGUCUUGUGUUACAUUUGUCACAAGAGACUGCCCGACCUUUGGUCGGGAGGAAGGAGGGGCAGACGUCAAGUCAGCAUGGCCCUUAUAUCUUGGGCUACACACAUGUUACAAUGGACCAUAACAAUGAGCAUGCCACUUAGCAAUAAGGCGCUAAUCUCACAAAUUGGUCCUCAGUGGGGAUUGCGGUCUGCAACUCGACCGCAUGAACGUGGAAUUGGUAGUAAUCGCGGAUCAGUCAAGCCGCGGUGAAUACGUUCUUGCCUCUUGCACACACCGCCCGU
Molecule: ribosomal RNA, 490 nt
Filed under: uncultured bacterium
Lineage: Bacteria
Description: partial 16S ribosomal RNA
Rfam family: Bacterial small subunit ribosomal RNA
Source: RNAcentral